Molecule: long non-coding RNA, 1243 nt
Filed under: Homo sapiens (human)
Lineage: Eukaryota; Metazoa; Chordata; Mammalia; Primates; Hominidae
Description: HSALNT0363743
Source: RNAcentral
CCUGGCUCAGCCUCCCAAGUAGCUGGGACCACAGUCUGCGAAUUGCCAGAAGCCCAGUCUGCGAAUUGCCAGAAGCCCAAAGCCCAUCUUCCCUUGGCCUGAGUGACACGGCACUGACCUGCUCCUGCUCUUACUGCUCUGGCUGCCCCCUACAGUUCCACUCCUGGGCAUCUCUUCCCUCCUUUAACUGAUGGCUCCAUCUUAAAGAGAGUAGAAGUGACUUCACCCACCCUAUGGCCUAGAGGCCCAAACAUGAAGCUCCUGGGCAACAGGAUUUGGUUUUAUUAAAGAGCUGCCAAGUUCCUUUGCCUUGAUGUGAGUAUGGGGAUCAGGCGGCCUGGCUAAGCUGGUCAGAGGGAGCAUUUCCAGAGGUCAGAGCACAGUCUCCAUGGAAACCAGGGCUCUGCAUACCCAGGAGGACCCAGGGACAGCAGGAGGACCAGUGAGAAAGGUGGAGUGCUGAGGAGAGAACACUGGGGUGCAGGCAGGGCCAUCAGGUUGAAACCCACCCCCACUUCCCCAACUCCUACACAGAGUCCCUCCUCCACCCAGCUGGGAGAACCAGAGCUCAGCCUACAGGGAACAGACAGGGCUCCUUUCAUCCUGCAGCAGAUGCUGUGCCUCCUACGCCCCUCCUGGGCCUCAGGAAGGGGGCUGGGGGUUCUAGGGCUAUGGCUGGGGCUGAAAGAGCAGCCCCGGCCCUGAGAGGACCCACAGGGACACCAAGGCUGGGGGCUGCCUGUGCCACUUAGCACUCUCAUCCCCACACCUCUGCAGCUUCUCACUGUGGGACCCUGGGUUUCUGCCCUGGGGUUUCUCUGGCCUUUGGAGCACACUUGGCCAGAAGUGCCAGAAAGUUUGAGGAUCAGCCUUUAACCGAUGACAGCUGGAGUUGGUGACCAACUGCUCCAGUUUCCUUGCCUUUUGGGUGGGACCUCCCUGUGGCAGGUUCUGCGCAGUCUCCCACGGGUUCCCCACAGGACUGACCCACAGUGAUGACCUGCUCGGCAGCCACCAUGGCUUUCUUCUUUUCCCUGGAUCACCUCUGAAAUAAAUGAUUUGUACUUAAAUGUUUGCCUCAGGAUCAGCUUCUGGAGGAACCCAAACUGAGAAUCCCCUCUCUCUCCCUCACAUUCGCAUCCAAUCUGCCUGAUUCUGCUGAUUCUACCUCCUUAAAAAGCCCUCAAGGCCAGGUGUGGUGGCUCAUGCCUGUAAUGCUACCACUCUGGGAAGCCGAGGUGGG